GUAUUAUUUUAAACUUAAUCCUGAUCCAUGUAAACCUUUGGCAUUUAUCCUUAUUCCGACUAUGGCAAUUCUUGGAAAUACUUACACUGUUUCAAUAAAAUCAAGGGUCUUCAUUGAGUCUUGAUGCACUUUAAACCCAGCUGGCUACCAGAGAUGCGAAGGUGGGCUCUUUGAAGAUUAGCAAAAUGGACGUUUCUGUCACUUGAGAAAAGGAAAGUUCUUUGCCUUUAAAUUACACAGUUUUCAUCAUGCCCACAAUCUAUAUUAUUGGCUGGUUAAACAGCACUGCCCUAUUAGCAAUGUUAACAAAAAUGAAAUUAUUUAUUGGCGGUUAUAGAUUAUCUAAUUCAGGAAAUUUCUGAGCUCAACUUUUACAGCAACUGUUAUGCCUUCUAAUUUAGCAAUUGAGUUAUGAGUAAGUUUUGUGCUUAACUCCUAGACCCUAUUGUUGAUAACCAGAUCAAAUAUAGUCUGUACAGAGGAAAACACUGGGAACAUUUAGUAUUUCUAAAGCCUCCUUUGGAGUUACUACUGAUUGUAAUUUGGAACUGAUAAUAGGUAGAGAUUGCUAACACUGUUUUUUUUCCUGGAUCUUUUUUAUGCCAGAAAUUAAACAGGUUCUGCUAACUCUUUUUUUUCUCUUGGUUAUCACCAGAAUGAAAAUAUUUAAAGUGAUGACUCUAGAAAAGCCAUCUGUGCCUGGUUAACAUUGAGUUUGAGUCUCUUCAAUAUAUAUUGAUCAUGUAUUGAUUAAUCUUUAUUUU
This 764-nucleotide long non-coding RNA is filed under the name Homo sapiens (human). RNAcentral's name for it is "non-protein coding lnc-C2orf66-1:1". Lineage: Eukaryota; Metazoa; Chordata; Mammalia; Primates; Hominidae. The record is from RNAcentral.